This 552-nucleotide ribosomal RNA is filed under the name uncultured bacterium. RNAcentral's name for it is "bacterial SSU rRNA". It matches the Rfam family "Bacterial small subunit ribosomal RNA", at positions 354 to 896 of the family's 1533-position model. The record is from RNAcentral.
GUAGGGAAUCUUCGGCAAUGGGGGCAACCCUGACCGAGCAACGCCGCGUGAGUGAAGAAGGUUUUCGGAUCGUAAAGCUCUGUUGUAAGUCAAGAACGAGUGUGAGAGUGGAAAGUUCACACUGUGACGGUAGCUUACCAGAAAGGGACGGCUAACUACGUGCUAGCAGCCGCGGUAAUACGUAGGUCCCGAGCGUUGUCCGGAUUUAUUGGGCGUAAAGCGAGCGCAGGCGGUUUGAUAAGUCUGAAGUUAAAGGCUGUGGCUCAACCAUAGUUCGCUUUGGAAACUGUCAAACUUGAGUGCAGAAGGGGAGAGUGGAAUUCCAUGUGUAGCGGUGAAAUGCGUAGAUAUAUGGAGGAACACCGGUGGCGAAAGCGGCUCUCUGGUCUGUAACUGACGCUGAGGCUCGAAAGCGUGGGGAGCGAACAGGAUUAGAUACCCUGGUAGUCCACGCCGUAAACGAUGAGUGCUAGGUGUUGGAUCCUUUCCGGGAUUCAGUGCCGCAGCUAACGCAUUAAAGCACUCCGCCUGGGGAGUACGACCGCAAGGUUG